RNAcentral lists this long non-coding RNA (5508 nucleotides) under Brassica napus (rape). RNAcentral's name for it is "long non-coding RNA (BNAP_LNC024276)". Lineage: Eukaryota; Viridiplantae; Streptophyta; Magnoliopsida; Brassicales; Brassicaceae. The record is from RNAcentral.
AUGUUUUCUCAUAGUGAUAGUGCUUAUAUAAUUACUACUAAAAGGUGAUCCAUGACUUAUUUUCUAGUACAGUGAAUUUGAAGAUAUAUUGAAUAAACUAAAGAUGAUUCAGGAUCUAGAAAAGUGCUGAGGUGUAGUGCAAAGAGAACUAUACGGUGAAUUUGAAGAUAUAUUGAAUAAAGUACUAUGAGGUUUAGAGAGUGGGGGAAAAUAGGAGCAGAGUGUGAUAUCAAACACCGGAUUUUCACUAGUCAUGUCCCUUCAUUGUGAAAGUUUAUGUGGGAAGUGCAUGACUCUAGUCGUAUACCAUGUUUUUGGGUUGUAAGGCCUCAAAAAUGUUGUUCGCUACACGUUGAGGAUCAUCAAUUAUAUCUAAUGAGUUUCAGUAUCAAUUAAUCACUCUCAAAAACUCGAAACAACACAAUUAUAGUGAAAAUUAUGUUCUAGAUGAAUACAAUUUUACAUUUUGUCAAAAAGGUUGUGAUGGCUUAGUUGUAGUGUAAUAAGCUAACGGUUUCCGGUGAAUGGAACAUAACAUGAUAGAUUGGCGUUUCUGAAGCUUAUAUACGUACAGUGGAUCACCUAUUUUUGAAGAAGAUAUGUCCGGCCAUCAACAAUCGUGAUAAUUUAUGCAUAAAUCAUCUUUUAAAAGUAGCUUGGGUCCUUUUCGAAGAGAGAAAUGUUUAAAGGGGAUUUCUCCUAAAAAAUGUUGGAACUUGUUUUUUACGAAAUAUUUUAAGACCAUUUUCGGUAAGAUUGUGGGAGAAGACAUUCGUCGAAAAUAACCGGAUGUUGGACAUUAUGAUGUAGUGUAACCACCAGUAAGUUUAAUGAGAAAUGAACAUCCAAUCGCUUAUAAAGCCUAUAAUGUAACAUUUUUGAAAUGUCCUACUUCGGAAAAUAAAGUCAAAAUGAGAUUCAGACGGAGUUCGAGUUUUGGGUUUCGAGAUUUAACGAAUGGGCUUGCGUUCAUACAAAGAUUAUUUUUUUAAAUAAAAUUUAUUUGAAAAUUAUUGUGAAAAAUUAACAAAUAUAACAUCUCUUUUAUAUUUUCAUUAAUAACAAAAAUUAAUGUGAAUUGAUUUUUGUAACAUAAAUAAAUUAUGACAAUUACUUGAGAAAUAAUUCUCAUGGCCAUUAAUUUGGUUUUCUCCGCUUUAUGAUCCUUUGGGUAUGAGCAGGGAAGGGGGUAUGAGGCUAUAAAGUCUUGGUCUCUUUCUCAUCAGACACACAUUCAUACGAAUCACAAAACAAAAAGAUCCUCCACUUGAAUAUUUUUUAUUUAGUGUUUUAUGUACGAGAGUACAACACAAAAUAGAAUCAACAUAUUACGUUGUUCAAUGAUUCAGACAGAAACAUAUGCAGUUGUAUCAUAAGAAUCUGAGGGUUAUAGAACCAUCACACUAUAAGACACUUAAAUAUUUAAGGAAGUAGAUUUAUCAUCUCGACUCUACAAUUUUUUAUUUAUUUGUUUAUUUUAGUAUUGUAAUUCUGAUUUCUGUGAGGCGCUUAAAUAUUUGAGGUUUCUACACAAAAAUGUUAAAAAUAAUAAUUAAAAACAGUGUCCGGGAAGCAAACAAGUUGAUCUCACUCAUGAUAAAAUCGGCAUGACUAUAGAAUCGUACUAGAAUUUAGGGAGAACAUUUUCAAUCACUUGGCCAUAAGAAAACAAACCUAGCAAGGAAGGUGGCUCAUCACUUGAAAAUUUUGUUAUAUAUGCUGCCAAGUGAAAAAGUUCAAAAACUUUUGAGUUGGAUACUUUGUCAAUAAGGUAGAAAAGUGUUGUUGCUUUUUAUCUCAUUUCGUUACACAUACAUAAAGGCUAUUUGUUGACAAAAAAAAAACAUAAACGCUAUUUUUGCUAUAUGUAGAAAGGUGUUGUUAUUAUAAUGAAGUGAUGAUUCUAGUAGAAGAGACUGUUAUCUAGUUAAUGAUAAGUACGAUCUCAUGUCGAUCCAGUACUUACACCGUCAUUACCAUAUGUAUAUAAAGACCAGUUGGUCGACCUAAUAAUACACACAAGUUUCCCUCUUCAUUCAUUACACGUUAUCAGCACGACUUUGUCUCUAAACCCUUCCAAAAAUCUACCACCCAUAAAUCAGAAACCAAACGAUCUUUUGCUAUUUUUCAGCGACUCCUAAAGCUCUUCCAGUCGCCUCAUUUUCUCUCUGUCAGCAACCAGCAGCACCUCUCUGUCCUCACAGACCGUUCAACUCAUCACAAAAGGUUCAGGUAUCUUCAGAAAACUCAAAACAAAACAAAAAAGGAUUUAAACCCUCAGCCGCAUACAUACAGCUACAUCUAGCCGUAUGUCUUUGCAGAAUAAAAUCUAAAACCCUAAUCUAUUUUCAAAGCUUAAAUCUCGUCUUGUUUCACCCUGUUUAAGCUUGUUUGAUUUUUUUUAAUCUUCCUGAUGUGAGUUAAUUGCUAGAACCUUUUAGGUUGACAAUUACACCAAUUUUUUUAACAUAUCCGACUGCUGCAUCAACUUAAUCUGAUUGUUUGCUUGCAUUAGAAACUUGUUCUUGAAUGUUUAAAGUCUUUCUCUGAUAUGUUGAAAUCGACUAGAACCUGUCUCAAAUUUGAAAGAUUAACUGUCGUUUUAGAUUUGAACACACAGAUUAAUAAAAUAUAUAUUUUGUAUAUUUUCUAAAUAAAACAUCAUUACCAAUACACCUAACCAUAUUUUAACCAAGAAAAAUAGAUUGGAAUAUAUAGUCAAUAAGUUUUGCACUGAAAUUAUACUACGGCACUUAUUUUAAAACGAAAAUUUUACUCUACAACGACAAAUAAACUGAAACGGAAAGAAUAUAAUUAAUUAUUAAUAACCAUAUUUAAAUCUUACCAUAGUUAGCCUAUAUUUAAGGGUGGUUAGUUAAAAAUAAUAACAGUUAGGCGAAAAUUUUAUAAUGUAUAGUUUUUUUUAAAUAAUCCACAUAGAAAUAAGUUGGAAAAAAGUUGGGUCCAACUUUAUGCUUCUAUUUUAAUACUACAGUAUAACCUUUUUAAAUUAAUAAUCUAUAAAUUAAUAUACACUAAAAAUCUCUAUAAAAUAAUAUAAUUUUAUAGUCUUAAAUUAAGUUUGUGGUUUAAUUAGUAUAUCGAUAAAUUAAUAUCUCUAUAAAUUAAUAAAAAAAUAUAGUUUUGAUAUAGUCCCAACAUUAUUAAUUUAUAGAGGUUUCACUGUAUAUAUAUAGCGAACUAAUAAGGACAUUUAAAUCAAAUGGCUAAAGCUUUUCCGAAAUAAGUAUUAUCAAAAAAAAAAAAAAAAAAAAAGAGUAUCGUACUCGGAGUACAGCAAAAGAAAUCUUUUUCUUUCUUUCUGAUUGCUUCAAAAAGAAGGGUACGUUGUUUAGCUAAAGACGCGUUUUUAUUGCGUUUUACAAUGCAACUGUAUCUAGUCAAUUACAUUAUUUUGUCAACUAGUCAACUGCAUUUAAGAUACAUAAAUGAUGAUUAUAGUAUCUUUUCCACACUUUAAUUGAUCGAUCUAUUCGUUGUUCAAAAAAAAAAAAAUGGAUCGAUCUAUUCAUAAUAAAAAUAAGUAAUGCGAAGUAUCGACACAAUUCCCAUUGUUGACCAAAAUCCCUCAUUCUCAGAGUACUUUUGAAGAAACCCUAAAGUAAAAGGAAUUGUCAAACCAGCCCGCCUUGCCCCCCCCUCCCCCCGUUGCCCGCACGGUUGCAAGGAAUUGUCAAACCAGCUCACUUUCUUUUUUUCACCCAAAAAUAAAGAUUACAAGUGAUCUAUCCGUUUCACAAAGAUAUAUUUUUUUAAUAUUUUCACAUAUAUUAAAAAAACACAUUAAACUACAAUAAUAAUAAAUGUAUCGUUUUCUGUAAUUUUUCAAUUUUCAAUAACUUUUAACCAAUAGUAAUUCAAUAAAAUCAAUUAAUUUUUUCGAAAUUUAUAAUUUUUUUAUACAAAACACAAAAAUACAUCUUUGUAAAACAAAUUUUUUUCUAAAAGUCUAUCUUAAUGGAACGGAGGGAAUAUGUUUUUUUUUUUUUAACUUUAAGUAUGUUUGUUUAAAGCUAAGAUUAUAAGUAAGUUUUUUUAAGGCUUGGAUUAUAAGUAUGUUAAUUAUCAAAAGGAUUUUACUCAAGAAGUUCAUUUACUUUCUACAACCAAAUAACUAAAUCGUGUUAUGGUAAUUUUCCAAGCUUUUUAUCCUGCUUGUACGUCUAAAAUUAUUAUUAGAAAAAAUACAGUACAACCAAAAAAGAUGACGAUUGACGUAUGAUCGCUAUAGCGCUAUAAUAGCGGAUGUGAUAUUGAAGGUGCAAAAUAUUUUUCAUGUCUCUUUCAAAAAAAAAAAUUCAUGUCUCUUCUUCUAUAAUUAUCAUUUUCUUUCAUUCACAACAAAACAAAAAAAAAAAUAUUUUCUCUGAGUUUUUUCGUUCAUGGAUUGGAUAAACCUCAUAGAGAUUGGGACACAUAUUUAUGUACACAAAAUAUUCAUAUGUUAUUAGCACAUUCAUGCAUAGGCUCAACGACAACCAAAAACUAGAAAAAUCUAUAAAUUGAAAUGUUCAUGCUCUACUUAUUGGAAUAAUAAGAAUAUAAAUAUUUUUUUUUAAGAAUAUAAAUAUUGGAAAGCUGGGAAUCAUAUAUAUCAAUGGAUUUAUGCUGUAAUACAAGAUUUGAAAUAUUAAUGGUGAAAGACCGGAUUAUGUGGUACUAGUGAACCUCAUAGUGUGUAUAGGUUAGAUAUACAUAACACAUAUGUAAAUUAUGGCAUAAGUGUUGUUUAGAUGGUAAAUAAUGUAUAUAGAGAAAAAUUAUUGUCGAUUGUUAACUAAUUAUAUGUCUUUUGCAUUUUAGCAAAAAUUCACUUAGAAUUCUCAUUUGAUGACUUAGGUGGAAAUCACAUUACAUCAUUACACAUCGGGACCCCGUAGAGAAUUAGUCCUGGUGAACUCCCAAUAUUUUUUUUUUCCGAAAAACGGUUUCAUUUGAAAUACAUCGAAAAAGUUGUUUGUCUGGAAUUCAGUGAUCUGUUCCAACCAAUUUUCGACGAGGUAGAUCUGAUGAAAUGUUUUUGUCAAAAACUCUUCGGUAGUCGAUAUUGUUAACAGAUUUAUCCGUUGGGAAUCUCAUGUUUUCUCAUAGUGAUAGUGCUUAUAUAAUUACUACUAAAAGGUGAUCCAUGACUUAUUUUCUAGUACAGUGAAUUUGAAGAUAUAUUGAAUAAACUAAAGAUGAUUCAGGAUCUAGAAAAGUGCUGAGGUGUAGUGCAAAGAGAACUAUACGGUGAAUUUGAAGAUAUAUUGAAUAAAGUACUAUGAGGUUUAGAGAGUGGGGGAAAAUAGGAGCAGAGUGUGAUAUCAAACACCGGAUUUUCACUAGUCAUGUCCCUUCAUUGUGAAAGUUUAUGUGGGAAGUGCAUGACUCUAGUCGUAUACCAUGUUUUUGGGUUGUAAGGCCUCAAAAAUGUUGUUCGCUACACGUUGAGGAUCAUCAAUUAUAUCUAAUGAGUUUCAGUAUCAAUUAAUCACUCUCAAAAAC